UAAGCGGAGGAAAAGAAACUAACAAGGAUUCCCUUAGUAACGGCGAGUGAACCGGGAAAAGCUCAAAUUUGUAAUCUGGCUGUCUUCGAUAGUCCGAGUUGUAAUCUAUAGACGUGUUUUCCGUGCUGGACCGUAUCUAAGUCCCUUGGAACAGGGUAUCAAAGAGGGUGACAAUCCCGUGCUUGAUACGACCACCAGUGCUCUGUGAUACACGUUCUACGAGUCGAGUUGUUUGGGAAUGCAGCUCAAAAUGGGUGGUAAAUUCCAUCUAAAGCUAAAUAUUGGCGAGAGACCGAUAGCGAACAAGUACCGUGAGGGAAAGAUGAAAAGCACUUUGGAAAGAGAGUUAAACAGUACGUGAAAUUGUUGAAAGGGAAACGAUUGAAGUCAGUCGUGUUCUUUGGAUUCAGCUAGUUCUUCUAGUCUACUUCCAUUGAACGGGUCAACAUCAGUUUUGUCCGGUGGAUAAAGGUAUUAGGAAUGUAGCUCCCUCGGGAGUGUUAUAGACUAGUAUUGCAUACACUGGGUGAGACUGAGGACUGCAGCUCGCCUUUUGGCCGGCCUUCGGGUACGUUCGAGCUUAGGAUGUUGACAUAAUGGCUUUAAACGACCCGUCUUGAAACACG
RNAcentral lists this ribosomal RNA (626 nucleotides) under Trichosporon sp. K7. Its description in RNAcentral is "eukaryotic LSU rRNA". It matches the Rfam family "Eukaryotic large subunit ribosomal RNA", at positions 47 to 663 of the family's 3401-position model. Lineage: Eukaryota; Fungi; Basidiomycota; Tremellomycetes; Trichosporonales; Trichosporonaceae. RNAcentral also lists the same sequence under 1 other name. The record is from RNAcentral.